Molecule: RNA transcript, 1753 nt
Organism: Mus musculus (house mouse)
Lineage: Eukaryota; Metazoa; Chordata; Mammalia; Rodentia; Muridae
Gene: Trim69
Gene name: tripartite motif-containing 69
Exons: 7
Source: RefSeq, marked validated
AGCUUUGGCCUUGUCUGUCUUCUUCAGCUCCUGAACUCUCUUCUCCCUCCUCCUCUCAUGGGCUCUGAGUCCAUUCCUAGCAUACUAACAGGCCCAGAACUCUUGGUCUGCAGCCAUCCUGGGCUCACUGAGCAAAGCCAAGUUGCCUGACUCUGCCCCCUGGUGGCCUAAUGACCAAGUUUCAUGGAGGUAUCUUCUCGGCCCCCCUCCAACUUUGAUCCAGGCAACUAUGUUGAAAUGAGUGAUCCAACCACCACCCAUUUACCCUCAAAAGUGGUGAUACAAGAUCUUACCACGGAGCUACACUGCCCUCUGUGUAACGACUGGUUCCGUGAUCCGCUGAUGCUGACCUGUGGCCACAACUUCUGCCAAGACUGUAUUCAAAGCUUCUGGAAAGUGCAUUCAAAGGAAACAUUCUGUCCUGACUGUAAGAUGCUAUGCCAGUAUAGCAACUGUACAUUCAACCUCGUGCUGGAGAAGCUCGUGGAGAAGAUUAAGAAGUUACCCCUGCUCAAGGGCCAUCCACAGUGCCCAGAGCAUGGAGAGAACCUGAAACUGUUCAGUAAGCCAGAAGGCAAAAUGAUCUGCUUUCAAUGCAAGGAUGCACGGUUGUCUAUGGGGCAGUCUAAGGAUUUCCUGCAGAUCUCUGAAGCUGUCCGUUUCUUUACGGAGGAGCUUGCUAUCUAUCAGAGCCAACUUCAGACAACCCUGAAGGAGCUUCAGUCUCUCAGAACAAUUCAGAAAGAUGCUAUUUCUGCUUACAAGGUUUCCAGGACAACAAGAUACAACUGCAACAAAACCUUUCCUUGGAGUUUCUAAAGCUACAUCAGUUUCUGCACAACAAAGAAAAGGACAUUCUAAAUGACCUCCGGGAUGAGGGGAAACUCUUGAAUGAGGAGAUGGAGGUGAAUCUGAACCAGAUUCAGGAGCAGUGUCUUGUUGCCAAAGACAUGCUGGCGACCAUUCAGGCACGGAUGGAACAGCAGAACUCCUUCGACUUCCUCACAGACAUCACAAAGCUCAUAGAGAGCAUGGAGAAAGGAAUGAAGACAAUUGUACCUAGACAGCUCAUCGCCAAAAAGCUGAGCCUAGGCCGCUUCAAAGGUCCUAUCCAGUAUAUCAUCUGGAAGGAAAUGCAGGCUAUUCUCUCUCCAGGCCCAUCUCAAUUAACUCUGGAUCCUAAAACAGCUCAUCCCAAUCUGGUGUUAUCCAAAAGCCAGACCAGUGUGUGUCACUGUGAUGUUAAGCAGGUAAUGCCUGAUGAUCCAGAGCGGUUUGAUUCAAGUGUGGCUGUACUGGGCUCAAAAGGCUUCACCUCUGGAAAAUGGUACUGGGAAAUAGAAGUAGGAAAGAAGACAAAAUGGACAAUUGGAGUCGUCAGAGAGUCCAUCAUUCGGAAGGGGAGCUGCCCUCUGACUCCAGAGCAAGGAUUCUGGCUUCUAAGACUAAGAAACCAAACAGAUCUAAAGGCCCUGGAUUUGCCCUCCCGUAGUCUGACUCUAGGCGACCUCAGAAGAGUGGGCGUGUACCUGGAUUAUGAGGGCGGGCAAGUAUCCUUCUACAACGCUACAACCAUGACCCAUCUUUACACCUUUAGCAGUGUUUUCCAGGAGAAACUUUUCCCCUACUUGUGCCCCUGCCUUAAUGACGGUGGGGAGAAUAAAGAACCGUUGCACAUCGUACAUCCACAGUAAUUAAGUUAUACUAUUGUAUAAAUUCAGGGCUUUAUUAAAGUAUUGAAAUAGUUUACCAA